UGUGCCACCACACCCAGCUAACUUUUGUACUUUUUAAUAAAGACUGGGUUUUACUAUGUUGGUCAAGCUGGUCUCAAACUCCUGAUCUCAGGUGAUCCGCCCACCUCGGCCUCCCAAAGUGCUGGGAUUACAGGUGUGAGCCACCAUGCCUGACCUAAGGAUCUAGUAAUCUAGGAUGAUCUAUCUUGCCAUCCUUGAUUACAUGUUCAUAGCCAGGUUGACAGAAGAAUCCAGGGGGUUACCAGGUGCUCAGUAAACAAACUCAAGGAUCUGAAAUCUUCACUCCAUCCCACUUGCUGCUUCCUUCUUCCCAAGCCCAUUAUGACUCCUUUAAUGACCAGCAGCCCAGCGACUUUCCUCUGGCAUGGCCUCAAGCACUGCUUCAGCUCCACCAGGAGCACCAAGGCACUAGAGGCCAGGCAGGAGCAGCCCAGGUGGAAGGCCCCAGGGCGAGGAGGAGCCCCAGCAGCCUGCCUCUUUCCCUUUCGGUGGGCCCUUCUUCUCCAACCUCCCAUCCAACAGUCAGCACACGUGCCUUCCUCCUGCACCCUUGCUGAGCACACGCCCACGUCCACCCUGACCCCACACCCUGCACCCCAGAAUGUCUGAUUGGUCCCCGGAGGCAUUGCUUCCCAGACACCUCUUGUGUUCAGCUCACACUGUUCCACCAUCCAAAUGUCCUGCCUCCUCCCCACUCCUCCUCUCUCCUGUUCAUCCUUCCAUGUCCCCCUCCUGCAGAGGGAGAAUUUGUCAUUUGGUGAACACCUUGCAAGUACCAGAUACUCUGCUAGCUGCUUGUGAACACUGUGUUACUUCAUCCUCCUCUGUGAGUGUCCCAGUGCUGCCGUAACAAAUCACCACAAACCGAGUGGCUUAGAACAGCACAAAUGUCUUCUCCCACAGUUUUGAAAGGAAGAAGUCUGAAAUCAAGGUGUCCACAAAGGCUGUAAGGGAGAGACCUUCCUCACCUCUUCCAGCUUCUGGUGGCUUCAGACUUUCCUUGGCUUGUGGCAGCAUCACUCUAAUCUCAGCCUCUGUCUUCACAUGGCUCUCUCCUCAUCUCCCUGUGUGUCUCCCACUGUAUAUUUCUUAUAAGAACACCUGACAUUGAAUCUAAGUAAUCUGGAAGGACCUAGUAAUCUUUUUUUGGUUUUUUUGUUUGUUUGAGUCGGAGUCUCACUGUCACCCAGGCUGGAGUGCAAUGGUGCAAUCUCAGCUCACUGCAACCUCUGCCUACCUGGCUCAAGUGAUUCUCUUGCCUCAGCCUUCCAGGUAACCAGGAUUACAGGUACGUGCCAACACACCCAGCGGAUUUUUGUAUUUUUAGUAGAGACAGGGUUUCACCAUGUUGCCCAGACUGGUCUUGAACUCCUGACCUCAGGUGAUCCACCCGCCUCAGCCUCCCAAAGUGCUGGGAUUACAGGCGAGAGCCACCGCACCCAGCCUCUUUGUUUUUGUCAAGGUGGAGUCUCACUCUAUCACCCAGGCUGGAUUGCAGUGGCACAAUCUUGACUCACUGCAGCCUUCACCUCCGAGGUUCAAGUGAUUCUCCUGCCUCAGCCUCCCGAGUAGCUGGGAUUACAGGCACCACCACCACACCCAGCCUUUUUUUUUUUUUUUUUUUUUUUUGGUAUUUUUAGUAGACAGGGUUUUGCCAUGUUAGCCAGUCUGGUCUCAAACUCCUGGCCUCAAGUGAUCUGCCCACUUCGGCCUCCCAAAGUGCUGGGAUUACAGGCGUGAGCCACCACACCCCGCCUAAGGAUCUAGUAAUCUAGGGUGAUCUAUCUUGACAUCCUUAAUUACAUCUGCAAAAAGCCUUUUUCCAAGUAAGGUCACAUUCACAGGGUCCAGGAGUUAGAAUGUGGACAUGUCUUUUGGGGGUCACCAUUCAAUCCACUGUACCUUCUAACAACCGUUUGAGGGAAAGAGAGCGUUACUCUCAUUUUAUAGUUGAGGAUGCUGAGGCUCAGACAGGGUAAGGGCCUUGCCUAGGAUCACACUGCUACCAAAGGCAGCCAGCAUCUGAAUCUACCUGAUUACAAAGUCCGUGUUUUCUCCACUAUACCUAUAACUCUUCCAUAAGCCUUUUCUCCUUUCCUCCCACCCUUCACCCCCGCUUUUCCUGCCUUUGAACCACCUCUGGGUGCUUCUGUGGCCCUCUCAUCUUUUCAUGCAUUUUUCUUUUUUUUGAGACGGAGUCUCGCUCUGUUGCCCAGGCUGGAGUGCAAUGGCGCGAUCUUGGUUCACUGCAACCUCUGCCUCCCUGGUUCACGCCAUUCUCCCACCUCAGCCUCCCGAGUAGCUGGGACUACAGACGCCCACCGCCACACUCAGCUAAUUUUUUGUUUUUAUAUUUUUAGUAGAGACGAGGUUUCACCGUGUUACCAGGAUGGUCUUGAUCUCCUGACCUCGUGAUCUGCCCGCCUCGUCCUCCCAAAGUGUUAGGAUUAUGGGCAUGAGCCACCGCUCCCAGCCUUUUCAUGCAUUUUUGUUUGUCUUAUCUCCUCCAGUCUGAGCUCUCCUUAGAACAAGACCUUGCCUUACUCAUCUCUGUAUCUUCCAAAGUGCUCUGUCUGGAGCAUAGCACAUGCACUUCUCUAUCAAGAGGGGAAAAAAAUAAGACACACCAAGACAGCUGUAAGUUUCAAGAAAAAUAAGAGGCCGGAUUCUUUGUAGAAGCUGAAGAAUAUUCCUCUGCAAUUGGUUGGCUUCCUCAGUGGUUCGGCUUCAGGAUCCCGCAGAGGUUGGCUAAGGCCCAGUCAGCCAAAGGCGCCAGCACGACUGGGACUGGAAGAUCCACUUCCAAGACGGCUCAUGCACGGUGCUGCCCAGCUGGUGCUGUAGCUGGCAGGAGGCCUGGAUUCCCUGCUGCACUGGGUGACCAGAUUUUCCCAGAGCAAGAGUCCAAGAGAGAGAAAAAUGAAAGAUACAAGGUUUUUUUAUGAUCUGGCCUCAGGAGUCUUAUUUCCACAAUAUCCUAUUGGUUAUACAAGUCAGCCCUACUCAACAUCAGACUACACAAGGGUGGGACUGGUGAAAUAAGAUUCACUGGAGGGCUAUCUUGAAAGGUGGAUACCACAUAAUUCCAUGACGUUUAUAAACGACAUACCUAAAAUAUAAGGACAUGAAAGUGUUUGAAGCAAAGCUGGAGUAGUUGUUAGUAAUAUGGGACAAAAUAGACUUUGGGGAAAUAAAGCAUUAUUAUGGCUAGAGAAUGACAUUAAAUAAUGACAAAAAAUACAAUCUACUAAGAUUAUUAUAAACCUAGUAAAAUAAGAAGAUAUGAUUAUAAAACUAAAAAAUAAGCUUAAUAAAAUAGGUUUAAAAUAUAUAAAUUAUAAAAAUUAAAAGAACCCAGGGAGAAGUUGCCAUAUUUGCCAUCAUAGUGGGAGAUGUCAACACACCUCUCUCCGUUACUGUUAGAUCAAAGAGACAAAAAAUUAGAAAAGACAGAAAAUUUGCACAAUACAAUUAAUCAGCUUGAUUUAUUGGGCAUAGAUAGAAUUCUCUACCCAGCAAUUAGGGAUGACACAUUUGGAACAUAUAUAAAAACUGACCAGGCCGGGCGCGGUGGCUCAC
RNAcentral lists this long non-coding RNA (3579 nucleotides) under Homo sapiens (human). RNAcentral describes it as "HSALNT0184714". Lineage: Eukaryota; Metazoa; Chordata; Mammalia; Primates; Hominidae. The record is from RNAcentral.